GACGAACGCUGGCGGCGUGCUUAACACAUGCAAGUCGAACGGAAAGGCCCUGCUUUUGUGGGGUGCUCGAGUGGCGAACGGGUGAGUAACACGUGAGUAACCUGCCCUUGACUUUGGGAUAACUUCAGGAAACUGGGGCUAAUACCGGAUAGGAGCUCCUGCUGCAUGGUGGGGGUUGGAAAGUUUCGGCGGUUGGGGAUGGACUCGCGGCUUAUCAGCUUGUUGGUGGGGUAGUGGCUUACCAAGGCUUUGACGGGUAGCCGGCCUGAGAGGGUGACCGGCCCCGGUGGGCCUGAGGUACGGACCGGCGUCCGCCGGGGGGCAGCAGUGGGGUAGCGUGCAUAAGGCGCGGACGCUUUAUGCCGCUCCGCCGUGUGAGGGAUGACGGCUUUCGGUUUGGAAACCGGAUGCGCCUGUGACGAAGCGGGAGUGACGGUGAUGGGUAAAGAAGAACCGGCUAACUCCGUG
This 468-nucleotide ribosomal RNA is filed under the name uncultured bacterium. RNAcentral describes it as "partial 16S ribosomal RNA". It matches the Rfam family "Bacterial small subunit ribosomal RNA", at positions 28 to 507 of the family's 1533-position model. The record is from RNAcentral.